GAUGAACGCUGGCGGCGGGCCUAAUACAUGCAAGUCGAGCGAACAGACGAGGAGCGUGCGCCUCUGACGGUAGCGGCGGACGGGCGAGUGAGAAGUGGAUAAGAUACUAAUAAGACUGGGGGAAGAUCGGGAAAACGGAGCCAAUACUGGAGAAUAUGAUGUACCGGAGGGAUCAGGAGAGAAAGGGGGUUUGGGCGACAGAAUGAGCCGGUGCCGGAUUAGCUAGUUGGGGGGGUAACGGCACACCAAGGCAACGAUGCGUAGCCGACCUGAGAGGAUGAUCAGCCACACUGGAACUGAGACACGGUCCAGACUCCUACGGGAGGCAGCAGUAGGGAAUCUUCCGCAAUGGGCGAAAGCCUGACCCAGCCACGCCGCGUGGGUGAUGAAGGUCUUCGGAUCGUAAAGCUCUUUUGUUGGGGAAGAACAACUGCGUAUUUAACCCCGCCCGUCCUGACGGUACCCAAUCAGUAAGCCCCGGCUAACUUCGUG
This 492-nucleotide ribosomal RNA is filed under the name uncultured bacterium. RNAcentral describes it as "partial 16S ribosomal RNA". It matches the Rfam family "Bacterial small subunit ribosomal RNA", at positions 28 to 507 of the family's 1533-position model. The record is from RNAcentral.